GACAGAGGGUGCGAACGUUGCUCGGAAUUACUGGGCGUAAAGCGCGUGUAGGCUGGUGCGUGUGUCGGGUGUGAAAUCCCCAGGCUCAACCUGGGAACUGCAUCCGAAACUGCGCGCCUUGAGUGUCGGAGAGGAAAGUGGAAUUCGUGGUGUAGAGGUGAAAUUCGUAGAUAUCAUGAGGAACACCGGUGGCGAAGGCGGCUUUCUGGACGACAACUGACGCUGAGACGCGAAAGCGUGGGGAGCAAACAGG
RNAcentral lists this ribosomal RNA (253 nucleotides) under uncultured bacterium. Its description in RNAcentral is "partial 16S ribosomal RNA". It matches the Rfam family "Bacterial small subunit ribosomal RNA", at positions 524 to 776 of the family's 1533-position model. The record is from RNAcentral.